CAGCCGCCGCGGUAAUACGAAGGUCCCGAGCGUUGUUCGGAAUCACUGGGCGUAAAGGGAGCGUAGGCGGCGUGGUAAGUCAGAUGUGAAAUCCCGGGGCUCAACCCCGGAACUGCAUCCGAUACUGCCAUGCUAGAGGAUUGGAGAGGUAGCUGGAAUUCUUGGUGUAGCAGUGAAAUGCGUGGAGAUCAAGAGGAACACUCGUGGCGAAAGCGAGCUACUGGACAAUAACUGACGCUGAGGCUCGAAGGCCAGGGUAGCGAAAGGGAUUAGAUACCCCAGUAGUCCCUGUCUCUUAUAC
Molecule: ribosomal RNA, 301 nt
Filed under: uncultured bacterium
Lineage: Bacteria
Description: partial 16S ribosomal RNA
Rfam family: Bacterial small subunit ribosomal RNA
Source: RNAcentral